UACGGAGGGGGCUAGCGUUGUUCGGAAUUACUGGGCGUAAAGCGCACGUAGGCGGACCAGAAAGCUGGGGGUGAAAUCCCGGGGCUCAACCUCGGAACUGCCUUCAAAACUAUUGGUCUUGAGUUCGAGAGAGGUGAGUGGAAUUCCGAGUGUAGAGGUGAAAUUCGUAGAUAUUCGGAGGAACACCAGUGGCGAAGGCGGCUCACUGGCUCGAUACUGACGCUGAGGUGCGAAAGCGUGGGGAGCAAACAGG
RNAcentral lists this ribosomal RNA (253 nucleotides) under uncultured bacterium. RNAcentral's name for it is "partial 16S ribosomal RNA". It matches the Rfam family "Bacterial small subunit ribosomal RNA", at positions 524 to 776 of the family's 1533-position model. The record is from RNAcentral.